Molecule: signal recognition particle RNA, 100 nt
Rfam family: Bacterial small signal recognition particle RNA
About the family: The signal recognition particle (SRP) is a universally conserved ribonucleoprotein involved in the co-translational targeting of proteins to membranes.
GGCCGGGCCUCGCGCGGCGCGCCCUCGUCAACCCCGCCAGGCCCGGAAGGGAGCAACGGUUCGCGAAUCGGCGCGGGUGCCGCGAGUCAACCCGGCUUCC